This 254-nucleotide ribosomal RNA is filed under the name uncultured bacterium. RNAcentral describes it as "partial 16S ribosomal RNA". It matches the Rfam family "Bacterial small subunit ribosomal RNA", at positions 524 to 776 of the family's 1533-position model. The record is from RNAcentral.
UACGUAGGAGGCGAGCGUUGUCCGGAAUUACUGGGCGUAAAGAGCGCGUAGGUGGUGCGGUACGACCGGUGUGAAAGCCCCCGGCUCAACUGGGGAGGGUCACUGGUAACGGCCGGACUGUGAGUGCAGGAGAGGGAAGUGGAACUCCGGGAGUAGCGGUGAAAUGCGUAGAUACCCGGAGGAACACCAGUGGCGAAGGCGGCUUCCUGGCCUGCAACUGACACUGAGGCGCGAAAGCUAGGGGAGCAAACGGG